Triticum aestivum (bread wheat) is the source of this 318-nucleotide long non-coding RNA. RefSeq lists it as uncharacterized. The transcript is spliced from 2 exons. The record is from RefSeq and is a predicted model, not a curated record. NCBI's taxonomy places the organism in Eukaryota, Viridiplantae, Streptophyta, Magnoliopsida, Poales, Poaceae.
ACGGUCUCGGGCCGCCGCGGGGAGGCAGAGAGGCGACACGGGAGAGGUGAGAGGAUAGCCGAACAGCGGGCUCGCAGUCGCAGGGUCACUAUGCGAGAGCACAUAUCCUCGCAUGGCAGGUUACAUGUAGCCCUAUAAAAUCAAAUUCAGCCCCAUGUUACCUGAUUUCCUGUGAAUGGAUUUUACUGCUUUUCAGUUUUGGACACUGUGUAACUUGUUGUAUUUCUGGAGCAGUGCUGCGAGGAGGAGGCUAUGAAGUACGUCCAAUACUUAACCUACAGCCAUCUAAUAUGCAAAUUUAAUAAUAGAAGAAGAUGA